CGUCAGCUCGUGCCGUGAGGUGUCAGGUUAAGUCCUAUAACGAGCGCAACCCUUACUUUCAGUUGCCAGCACGUAAUGGUGGGGACUCUGGAGGAACUGCCUACGCAAGUAGAGAGGAAGGUGGGGAUGACGUCAAAUCAGCACGGCCCUUAUGUUCGGGGCUACACACGUGCUACAAUGGUCGAUACAGAGGGCAGCUACUUGGCAACAAGAUGCGAAUCUCGAAAAUCGAUCUCAGUUCGGAUCGGAGGCUGUAACUCGCCUCC
This 266-nucleotide ribosomal RNA is filed under the name uncultured bacterium. Its description in RNAcentral is "partial 16S ribosomal RNA". It matches the Rfam family "Bacterial small subunit ribosomal RNA", at positions 1053 to 1319 of the family's 1533-position model. The record is from RNAcentral.